This is a non-coding RNA of Camelus ferus (Wild Bactrian camel), 73 nucleotides long. Lineage: Eukaryota; Metazoa; Chordata; Mammalia; Artiodactyla; Camelidae. The record is from Rfam.
GAGGUUAUAGCUUAAGUGGUAGAGCGCAUGCUUAGUAUGCACUAGGUCCUGGGUUCAAUCCCCAGUACCUCCU